RNAcentral lists this ribosomal RNA (253 nucleotides) under uncultured bacterium. RNAcentral describes it as "partial 16S ribosomal RNA". It matches the Rfam family "Bacterial small subunit ribosomal RNA", at positions 524 to 776 of the family's 1533-position model. The record is from RNAcentral.
UACGUAGGGGGCAAGCGUUGUCCGGAUUUAUUGGGCGUAAAGAGCGUGUAGGCGGCCAAAUAGGUCGGUUGUGAAAACUGGAGGCUUAACCUCCAGACGUCGACCGAAACCAUCUGGCUAGAGUCCGGAAGAGGAGUGUGGAAUUCCUGGUGUAGCGGUGAAAUGCGCAGAUAUCAGGAAGAACACCCGUGGCGAAGGCGGCUCUCUGGGACGGUACUGACGCUGAGACGCGAAAGCGUGGGGAGCGAACAGG